This 722-nucleotide ribosomal RNA is filed under the name Lutibacter sp. RNAcentral's name for it is "bacterial SSU rRNA". It matches the Rfam family "Bacterial small subunit ribosomal RNA", at positions 28 to 741 of the family's 1533-position model. The record is from RNAcentral. Lineage: Bacteria; Pseudomonadati; Bacteroidota; Flavobacteriia; Flavobacteriales; Flavobacteriaceae.
GAUGAACGCUAGCGGCAGGCUUAACACAUGCAAGUCGAGGGGUAACAGGGAGAAGCUUGCUUUUCCGCUGACGACCGGCGCACGGGUGCGUAACGCGUAUAGAACCUACCUUUUACAGAGGAAUAGCCCAGAGAAAUUUGGAUUAAUGCCUCAUAGUAUUAUAGAAUGGCAUCAUUUUAUAAUUAAACAUUUAUGGGUAAAAGAUGGCUAUGCGUUCUAUUAGCUAGUUGGUAAGGUAACGGCUUACCAAGGCUACGAUAGAUAGGGGUCCUGAGAGGGAGAUCCCCCACACUGGUACUGAGACACGGACCAGACUCCUACGGGAGGCAGCAGUGAGGAAUAUUGGACAAUGGAGGCAACUCUGAUCCAGCCAUGCCGCGUGCAGGAAGACGGCCCUAUGGGUUGUAAACUGCUUUUAUAUAGGAAGAAACCUUUCCACGUGUGGAAAGCUGACGGUACUAUAAGAAUAAGCACCGGCUAACUCCGUGCCAGCAGCCGCGGUAAUACGGAGGGUGCAAGCGUUAUCCGGAAUCAUUGGGUUUAAAGGGUCCGUAGGCGGACUAAUAAGUCAGGGGUGAAAUCCAACAGCUUAACUGUUGAACUGCCUUUGAUACUGUUAGUCUUGAAUUAUAUGGAAGUAGAUAGAAUGUGUAGUGUAGCGGUGAAAUGCUUAGAGAUUACACAGAAUACCGAUUGCGAAGGCAGUCUACUACGUAUAUAUG